UACGUAGGGUGCGAGCGUUAAUCGGAAUUACUGGGCGUAAAGCGUGCGCAGGCGGUUCGCCAAGUCAGGUGUGAAAUCCCCGGGCUUAACCUGGGAAUUGCGCUUGAAACUAACGGGCUCGAGUGUGGCAGAGGGGGGUGGAAUUCCACGUGUAGCAGUGAAAUGCGUAGAGAUGUGGAGGAACACCGAUGGCGAAGGCAGCCCCCUGGGCUAACACUGACGCUCAGGCACGAAAGCGUGGGGAGCAAACAGG
Molecule: ribosomal RNA, 253 nt
Filed under: uncultured bacterium
Lineage: Bacteria
Description: partial 16S ribosomal RNA
Rfam family: Bacterial small subunit ribosomal RNA
Source: RNAcentral